CAAAGGCCUCGGUGGUCUCGCCUCGCGCCCCGAAAGCCACCCAAGAUCACGAGCCAGAGAGGCACGAGGAGAGACACAUACAUCAAAAGCUUAUUAAAGCCAACGAAAUAACUCACGGUGACAGCGCUACAAAAAGAUAACCAUUACAUUUAUGUGCCGGCUAUGUGUGACUUUGAGGCUGACCUUGUGGAGCUCCCCGGGGAUCGAUGAGGCGUCUGCGAACAGUGCGCAGAGUAAUCGCCCUGCACUGCGCGCCGACUCAAUGACGAGGCGAGACGAACGACGGCACGCGGCCACUACGCCGGUGUUGCCGCCGCCCGAGGAUGUCUUGCACAUAUUUGUGCUUCGAACAUCCGGAGGAAUUGUACCACCUUGAGUGUUACAAACAAACACAUUGAUGAUGAUGAGCCAGCAAUGCACUGUGGGUAACUUGGGAGGUUUUACACAAGGCCUAACGUUGCUCACGCCAGUUGGAGGAGGAGGCAAGGACACCAGACUGAACCCGUGUAAUCAGAAUCGCGCCCACGGUGUCUGUCUGGUGUCUGCCUCGUAACACAGGAAAUCCAAACCAGAACUAUCAAGUUCACAUAAUUAAGUUGCAUAAAAAUUACAGGCUGGAUCAAAUGCGCGCCACCCUGCCAUUAGUGGUGGGUGUUAUUUUGCCCCCUCAACUGUCUUAUUUUAAUUCUAUGUCUGUUUGCUUUACAGUCUGGGUAAUAGCAGGUCUGGGCCUUUUCCCAUGUGUGCUUACAUUAAACUCCAACCGCGGGCUAAGCUCGGACCAGAGCCACGCUGCUCUACAAGUCUAUACCUUUAUUUUAUUCAUUUCCCAUUUAUGCAAGCUCGUUUGGGUGUAUUGUUAAUAAGAAGGCUUGUGAGCGCUUGUCACAGGAGAGCACCCUUGACUCUUAAUGAAUAUGCUUUGGCUCUGGCUUUUUAUCCGUAAAUGCUAUGAUUACCUGAAUUUGAGAUGGGGGCAAUCUUGCUCUCAUGGAGACGGAGCAGAAGAGAGAGUGUAUUUACAAGAGUAAACAUAGAACGCGAAAACGCAGUAAAAUGCAGGUUAGCGAGCGGUUUCCCUGCUGGGUGUGAUUCUUUAAAUACAACUGUAGGGUUUGGUGACUGAAGAUGGCAAAAAUAAAUAUAGGGGGAAAAUACUCUUAUACAAUUCUAAAAAACCUGUGUCACAAUAUAGAUUCAAAUUGUACAAUAUUUAAUGAAUUGUUGCUUACAAUUCAUUUGCAGUAAUUCCUACUUCAUUUCAAUUCAAUUUUUAGAAAUGAUUAAUAUUGAAACACUUUACUUUUGGUUGCAUAGGAAACGCAGCACAAAUAGCCCGGGAUCAAAUGCCUUGUGUUUAACUCUGGUGAACUCUGCGCUGUGGGGCAUGUUUGGAAAGUCUAACUCUAUUCGGCCCGAAGACAUUACACGCUGCGCAAAGACAGCCUUGCCAAACCACAAAAAAAAAAGAAAGAAAAAAAAAAGACGAAGGUCAGCUUCACACUGAUACAGUGGAAACAUCUUGACACAAAGAUGAUGACACGGGGGCCGAGCGAGACAAGGCAGACGGUGAAGAAAAACAAAUCCUACUGGACCCGCGUGCCGGAGCGCGGGCCGGUUGGCUCGGUUCACUUGUGGGAAUGGGAGGGGUUAGGGGAUAAUUGAAUUACAGUGACCCCCGUGACAGCACUAUAGGUGAUGUCAUGUGACGAAUUAAACGUGUCCCCGACCCCGUCCUCGAUGGGAUCAGGGCUCCUUGGCCGCUGCCGGGACCCAAAGCCAACAGUCGCGCGUCUUACUGAGCCCGAGCCGCCACUCAGGGUGACAGACUCAGAGGCUGACGCAGGAUCGCUCUGCACGCUUUAUUUUUAGCCCAAAUGCUAAACCUCUCUAUGCAUUGAGACACGCGGAAGCCGCGCUGCUAUUUACUGCUGUGUGAAAUCUUUCUAUUUUAAUUUCACUGCCCGGCAUGAAAGUCGCGUUCACUGCGAACGUCCCUACAUUCAAUUAAUGUAGUUUAACCACGUAGUGACCAUCGU
This is a long non-coding RNA of Gasterosteus aculeatus aculeatus (three-spined stickleback), 2039 nucleotides long. The record is from Ensembl. NCBI's taxonomy places the organism in Eukaryota, Metazoa, Chordata, Actinopteri, Perciformes, Gasterosteidae.